This 452-nucleotide ribosomal RNA is filed under the name uncultured Candidatus Protochlamydia sp. RNAcentral's name for it is "bacterial SSU rRNA". It matches the Rfam family "Bacterial small subunit ribosomal RNA", at positions 929 to 1382 of the family's 1533-position model. Lineage: Bacteria; Pseudomonadati; Chlamydiota; Chlamydiia; Parachlamydiales; Parachlamydiaceae. The record is from RNAcentral.
GCAGCGGAGCGUGUGGUUUAAUUCGAUGCAACGCGAGAACCUUACCCAGGCUUGACAUGCAGAUGACCGCUCUAGAAAUAGAGUUUCCUUCGGGACAUUUGCACAGGUGCUGCAUGGCUGUCGUCAGCUCGUGCCGUGAGGUGUUGGGUUAAGUCCCGCAACGAGCGCAACCCUUAUCAUUAGUUGCCAACAGGUGAAGCUGGGAACUCUAAUGAGACUGCCUGGGUUAACCAGGAGGAAGGUGAGGAUGACGUCAAGUCCGCAUGGCCCUUAUGUCUGGGGCUACACACGUGCUACAAUGGUCGGUACAGAAGGCAGCGAAACCGCGAGGUGAAGCAAAUCCAACAAAGCCGAUCUCAGUUCAGAUUGUAGUCUGCAACUCGACUACAUGAAGACGGAAUUGCUAGUAAUGGCGAGUCAGCAACAUCGCCGUGAAUACGUUCCCGGGUCUU